Molecule: ribosomal RNA, 1385 nt
Filed under: uncultured bacterium
Lineage: Bacteria
Description: bacterial SSU rRNA
Rfam family: Bacterial small subunit ribosomal RNA
Source: RNAcentral
GACGAACGCUGGCGGCGUGCCUAAUACAUGCAAGUCGAGCGAGCGGAACUAACAGAUUUACUUCGGUAAUGACGUUAGGAAAGCGAGCGGCGGAUGGGUGAGUAACACGUGGGGAACCUGCCCCAUAGUCUGGGAUACCACUUGGAAACAGGUGCUAAUACCGGAUAAGAAAGCAGAUCGCAUGAUCAGCUUUUAAAAGGCGGCGUAAGCUGUCGCUAUGGGAUGGCCCCGCGGUGCAUUAGCUAGUUGGUAAGGUAAAGGCUUACCAAGGCGAUGAUGCAUAGCCGAGUUGAGAGACUGAUCGGCCACAUUGGGACUGAGACACGGCCCAAACUCCUACGGGAGGCAGCAGUAGGGAAUCUUCCACAAUGGACGCAAGUCUGAUGGAGCAACGCCGCGUGAGUGAAGAAGGUUUUCGGAUCGUAAAGCUCUGUUGUUGGUGAAGAAGGAUAGAGGUAGUAACUGGCUUUUAUUUGACGGUAAUCAACCAGAAAGUCACGGCUAACUACGUGCCAGCAGCCGCGGUAAUACGUAGGUGGCAAGCGUUGUCCGGAUUUAUUGGGCGUAAAGCGAGCGCAGGCGGAAGAAUAAGUCUGAUGUGAAAGCCCUCGGCUUAACCGAGGAACUGCAUCGGAAACUGUUUUUCUUGAGUGCAGAAGAGGAGAGUGGAACUCCAUGUGUAGCGGUGGAAUGCGUGGAUAUAUGGAAGAACACCAGUGGCGAAGGCGGCUCUCUGGUCUGCAACUGACGCUGAGGCUCGAAAGCAUGGGUAGCGAACAGGAUUAGAUACCCUGGUAGUCCAUGCCGUAAACGAUGAGUGCUAAGUGUUGGGAGGUUUCCGCCUCUCAGUGCUGCAGCUAACGCAUUAAGCACUCCGCCUGGGGAGUACGACCGCAAGGUUGAAACUCAAAGGAAUUGACGGGGGCCCGCACAAGCGGUGGAGCAUGUGGUUUAAUUCGAAGCAACGCGAAGAACCUUACCAGGUCUUGACAUCUAGUGCCAUUUGUAGAGAUACAAAGUUCCCUUCGGGGACGCUAAGACAGGUGGUGCAUGGCUGUCGUCAGCUCGUGUCGUGAGAUGUUGGGUUAAGUCCCGCAACGAGCGCAACCCUUGUUAUUAGUUGCCAGCAUUAAGUUGGGCACUCUAAUGAGACUGCCGGUGACAAACCGGAGGAAGGUGGGGAUGACGUCAAGUCAUCAUGCCCCUUAUGACCUGGGCUACACACGUGCUACAAUGGGCAGUACAACGAGAAGCGAGCCUGCGAAGGCAAGCGAAUCUCUGAAAGCAGUUUUCAGUUCGGACUGCAGUCUGCAACUCGACUGCACGAAGCUGGAAUCGCUAGUAAUCGCGGAUCAGCACGCCGCGGUGAAUACGUUCCCGGGCCU